AGUGAACGCUGGCGGUAUGCCUAACACAUGCAAGUCGAACGGCAGCACAGUAAGAGCUUGCUCUUACGGGUGUCGAGUGGCGGACGGGUGAGGAAUACAUCGGAAUCUACUUUUUCGUGGGGGAUAACGUAGGGAAACUUACGCUAAUACCGCAUACGACCUACGGGUGAAAGCAGGGGAUCUUCUGACCUUGCGCGAUUGAAUGAGCCGAUGUCGGAUUAGCUAGUUGGCGGGGUAAAGGCCCACCAAGGCGACGAUCCGUAGCUGGUCUGAGAGGAUGAUCAGCCACACUGGAACUGAGACACGGUCCAGACUCCUACGGGAGGCAGCAGUGGGGAAUAUUGGACAAUGGGCGAAAGCCUGAUCCAGCCAUACCGCGUGGGUGAAGAAGGCCUUCGGGUUGUAAAGCCCUGUUGUUGGGAAAGAAAAACAGCAGGUUAAUACGCCGCUGUUCUGACGGUACCCAAAGAAUAAGCACCGGCUAACUUCGUG
RNAcentral lists this ribosomal RNA (492 nucleotides) under uncultured bacterium. RNAcentral describes it as "partial 16S ribosomal RNA". It matches the Rfam family "Bacterial small subunit ribosomal RNA", at positions 29 to 507 of the family's 1533-position model. The record is from RNAcentral.